UGGCGGCGUGCUUAACACAUGCAAGUCGAACGAUGAUCCCAGCUUGCUGGGGGAUUAGUGGCGAACGGGUGAGUAACACGUGAGUAACCUGCCCUUGACUCUGGGAUAAGCCUGGGAAACUGGGUCUAAUACCGGAUACGACCAUCUGGCGCAUGUCAUGGUGGUGGAAAGCUUUUGUGGUUUUGGAUGGACUCGCGGCCUAUCAGCUUGUUGGUGGGGUAAUGGCCUACCAAGGCGACGACGGGUAGCCGGCCUGAGAGGGUGACCGGCCACACUGGGACUGAGACACGGCCCAGACUCCUACGGGAGGCAGCAGUGGGGAAUAUUGCACAAUGGGCGCAAGCCUGAUGCAGCGACGCCGCGUGAGGGAUGACGGCCUUCGGGUUGUAAACCUCUUUCAGUAGGGAAGAAGCGAAAGUGACGGUACCUGCAGAAGAAGCGCCGGCUAACUACGUGCCAGCAGCCGCGGUAAUACGUAGGGCGCAAGCGUUAUCCGGAAUUAUUGGGCGUAAAGAGCUCGUAGGCGGUUUGUCGCGUCUGCUGUGAAAGACCGGGGCUCAACUCCGGUUCUGCAGUGGGUACGGGCAGACUAGAGUGCAGUAGGGGAGACUGGAAUUCCUGGUGUAGCGGUGAAAUGCGCAGAUAUCAGGAGGAACACCGAUGGCGAAGGCA
RNAcentral lists this ribosomal RNA (672 nucleotides) under Paenarthrobacter sp. RNAcentral describes it as "bacterial SSU rRNA". It matches the Rfam family "Bacterial small subunit ribosomal RNA", at positions 37 to 723 of the family's 1533-position model. The record is from RNAcentral. Lineage: Bacteria; Bacillati; Actinomycetota; Actinomycetes; Micrococcales; Micrococcaceae.